UAGGGAAUCUUCCGCAAUGGACGCAAGUCUGACGGAGCAACGCCGCGUGAGUGAAGAAGGAUUUCGGUUCGUAAAACUCUGUUGUUAGAGAAGAACAGCGCAUAGAGUAACUGUUAUGCGUGUGACGGUAUCUAACCAGAAAGCCACGGCUAACUACGUGCCAGCAGCCGCGGUAAUACGUAGGUGGCAAGCGUUGUCCGGAUUUAUUGGGCGUAAAGCGAGCGCAGGCGGUUAGAAAAGUCUGAAGUUAAAGGCAGUGGCUCAACCAUUGUAGGCUUUGGAAACUGUUUAACUUGAGUGCAGAAGGGGAGAGUGGAAUUCCAGGUGUAGCGGUGAAAUGCGUAAAUAUAUGGGGGAACACCGGUGGCGAAAGCGGCUCUCUGGUCUGUAACUGACGCUGAGGCUCGAAAGCGUGGGGAGCGAACAGG
RNAcentral lists this ribosomal RNA (428 nucleotides) under Bacteroidota bacterium. Its description in RNAcentral is "Bacteroidetes bacterium partial 16S ribosomal RNA". It matches the Rfam family "Bacterial small subunit ribosomal RNA", at positions 355 to 776 of the family's 1533-position model. Lineage: Bacteria; Pseudomonadati; Bacteroidota. The record is from RNAcentral.